GCUCAAGGCGGAGGAGGACUCCAGCGGCUCCAGUACCAGCCUGGACUCCCGCAUCGAGAGCCUGGAAGUGUGCAUCCCACGUGUCUGUAUAUACGCAGACACACACAUACUGCAUUUACAUUAUUUGAACACUUUUAAUAUUACACAAGCAUGAUUCAAGAAAUGAAGCAAAUAACAUAAAACUUGGAGACAACAGCCAUGUGCUAAAGAUGGUGGCACAGGAGGAUAGAAUAAGCCUGGUUUUGAACACGUGUUUGGGCUCCUGUACCAUCCCUGCACAGCCUAGGAAACUUCUGAUGAUGGGAGCAAUUUGUUAUUGAAGCAGGACUGUCUUUCACUCACAACUGAAUGAAAUCUUAGGAGAUAGAGUAUUAAUGAAACUCUGAGAAUUCCAGUGCCUACUAGAGUCUUCAGUCUGGAUGCUCUGAUCACAUUCAUGUCAAAUAAAAAUGUUUUAAAAAUAAACAAUUUAAAAAAUAAAUAAAUAAAUAAAUAAAGUUUUCAGUCAUCUUCCCAAUAGCAGAGGAAAAGAUGUUUUAAAGGGAACUACAUUACUACAUUUAGUAUUAUAAUACUAAAUACAUAUAUACAUAAUAUAUAAUAUU
Molecule: long non-coding RNA, 605 nt
Filed under: Capra hircus (goat)
Lineage: Eukaryota; Metazoa; Chordata; Mammalia; Artiodactyla; Bovidae
Description: lncRNA (ENSCHIG00010002447.1)
Source: RNAcentral